CUUUUCCCUUUGACUGGCAGGGCAAGGUAGAAAGUGUCUUAAUGUUAUUUUAAGUGCUUACUACUAUUUAGAUGCUGAAGGGGAUGGAGGGCUAUAAGAGGGAGUGUUAUACACUUCUAGCCACCCACAUACAGGCACUCAAGUCCAAGCUCACGGGAGGCAGGAUCCUCCAGAACAGCGGAAUAGUUAAGCCAGAUCCUGGCUAGACGCACUGGAGCCAGUCUUAGCCAGACUUGGGUGACACCUGUGAGCUGCUGUUUCCUGAGCUCCUUCAGGUGUGGGAAAGGCCUCCAGGUGUGGGAAAGAAAAUCCAAUUGUCACUUCGUAAAUCAGCCUAGAAUGCCCCUCUACCAGGGAUCUCUGCAAUAUCCCAGAAGCAGGUUCUUUUUUAGCAACUGCUGGUAGGGAUUCUCCUUUAACAGCAAACUAUUACAUUUAGCAUGGCUAAGCAAUGAGGUCCUACUGUACAGCAUAGGGAGCUAUGUCCAAUCUCCUGGGAUAGACAAUGAUGAAAAAUAAUACAAAAAAAAUGUAUAUGUGCAUGACUGAAUCAGUGUGCUGUGUAGCACAAAUUGGCACAGCCCUGUAAAUCAACUAUAUUUUAAGAAAAAAAGAAAACGUGAUAAAAUUCGUCAAAAUAUAAAAUUCUCCUUAGGAUAAGACCAAUAUAAAUAUAAUCAUGGUUUUCAUUUUUAAUAUCUUACCUUGGAAAUUAAUAUCAACCACUACAUGUGUGGUGUGACUUGUCAAACAAUAAACUUUACUAAGAAUUUUGAGAGAACAUAUGUGUUCCUGACACGCAUCUUACUGCCUGGCACAUAGUAAUAAUUCAAUAUUUGUUGAAUGAAUUCCCUUUCCUACAGUCAUUUCUUUUCCACUCCUUGAAUUUAGGGCUGCACCUGCAGCAUAUGGAGGUUCACAGGCUAGGGGUUGAAUCGGAGCUGUAGCUGCUGGCCUACGCCACAGACACAGCAACGUGGGAUCCAAGCCGUGUCUGUGAUCUACACCACAGCUCACGGCAACGCCAGAUCCUUUAACCCACUGAGCAAGGCCAGGGAUCGAACUUGCAUCCUCAUGGAUGCCAGUCAGAUUCGUUUCCACUGAGCCACAAUGGGAACUCCCAGAAGGCAAUUUUUAAGGGAAAGAUUUGAAGGAGCGAAAAUAAGGAGGAAGGGUAUCAGAGUCUCAAUUCUAUCAGUGUAUUCCUAAAGCUGAAAAUAAAUAAAUAAAUAAAACUUUUCCUUUAGGCAUUAGUAUCUGAAAUCAUAGCUUACUGGUGGAAAAAUUUCAAACGGAUAAUGGACAGCAGCAAAGAUGGUGCUAUGAGUGCAGCAUAACUCAGUUUCUCCACUUCUGCUUCUCUUGGGGGAAGAGUCUGAAAAGUUUUAUCAGAUCUCUUUGUAAAUCAGUAUGUUAGGAAUUUGUGUGGAAUGGAAUUCAAGUACAAUCAUCUCAAAGUACUAUUUUCUUGAGUCUGAGUAUUCCAUUUCAAAAAGAUUUAACAUUUAAAUAAUACUCUGAGAAAUGAAGAUAUUUUGAGAAUAUAAUAAUGUACAAGCUAGUAGGGUAGCCCAAGGUUUAGAUUAGCUAUGAUAAAUACUUUAAGUGUAUCUCUUGAUUCUGUCCAGCUUUUACUUUAUCCCAUGUAUAAUUUGACUUAUUUUUAAUAUGAAUGGAAGAGCUAAAGAUGCUGCAUCUCACAAGCACACACACACACUCACACACAAUUUUAUAUACUAAUGAAUAUCAGAGAUGACACUUUAGUGAUUUAACAGUAGGAUCUUUUUGAAUUUUGAAAUAAAUUUGUACCACUUAAUAGGUACAAUAGGUUCAAACCAUUGAUAUAUGUUUAAAGUUCUAUAAGCUUUGUUUUCUCAAAGUUCACUUUUGUUUAGGUAUCUUAUUUAUUUUUUGCAUAACCUGAAAAACGUAGCAGCAUGUUAAAAAAUGUUCAGUGAAAAUUUCUUUCACUUACUGUUUUUCUGUGUGUCAGAUCUGGACACAUUCAGAAUUCUGGUGUAGCUUUGGGAAGCUGACCAAUUCUGACUCAGCGCUAUGAGAAGGUGAUUUUGGAAUUUAAACAAGUAAUCAGAGUUGCAUGCUUUUAUAACUCUUGAUACUGUUCCUAAUAUUUCUUCUAAAUAUCUUUUUUUACUUUGUUAAUUUUUGAAAUCACCCAGAACCAGUACUCAAUUACCAACAAACUUCGAAUAAAUACUAUGUAUAUGACAAAAUAUUAUAUAUCUUACGUUUUAUGGAUGAAAAACAGAGAUAAAGAUAAUAAGAUAAUAAGUGGUAAAGCAGACCCUUAAACUGGCGUUUGUCUGACUCCAAAAUCUUUUCACUUAACCAAUACAUUACUAUGUCAGGAAACACACUUAGCAAGAAGUAACAGGAAAUCUAACCCAGAGUGGCUUAAAUAAUAAGAAAAUUGUAUUAUCUCAUAACAUGUGAUCCCAGAUGGGGUGGCUCUAGCAUAGAUAAUUCAGUAACUCAAAAAUAUCACAGAGACACAUAUUCUUUCCGUCUCUCCUCUAUGUUAAUUCUCUGUCACUGUGUUGAGUUUCCUCAUGGUCUUAAGAUGACUGCUAUGGUUUGAGGCAUCCCAUUCUUAUAUUUCAAUGUCAAAAGUCAAAAUACAGUGAAAAGACUCAUUUUUUUUUUUCUUUCUGAAUACUUUUUAGGAGCUAAGAAAUAUUUUUUCUAAAGCUCUCCUAGAAGUCUUACCCUCAUAUUUCAUUAGCCUGAGUCAGGUCAUAUGGCCCUUUCUAAAUAGAUCAUUGUAAAAAAGGAAUGAAAUCACCACAAUUGAUUUAGAAAAAUCAAAAUUUACUGGAGCUAGAGCUGUCCUCUCUUCAAGGACAUGGUGCAUGGAAAAAAAUGUGGGUAUCUGAACAAAUUUUGUUGUGUUUUGUUUUUUUUAGCAAAAGUGGGGAAUAACUCUAGUAGGCAACCAAUAAAGUCCAUUAUAAAAUAGCUAUCUCAUGAUCACCAGGGACAAGGAGGAAGACAGGGAAACACUAAAAGGGGAAAGUUGGAGAUCAGUGGAAAAAGAAAGAAAAAAAUAGUAAUCUCGUGUAUAGCAGGUGUUCGAUAAUUGCUGAUGACAGAAAACGAAUGAAAUACAAUUUACAACAAAGUUAAUCUGACACAUAUUUAAUGAUAUGUGUUGUUCCAUGACAUUUCAGGCCAAUAGUUUAGUAGUCCACAUAAAUAACUGUAAUUAGUACUACUUUUUGACAGAUCUUUAUAGCUUUUAAUCUUCUGUGUUAAUUAACUAGUUUAAGAACAAGCGUCAAUGUUCAGGGGCUUUUUUUUUUUUUUUUUCACUCAUCUUACAAAUGAUUGAACCUUAAUCAUAUAUUCACCGCCAAGUACUAGAAUGAUUCCUCAAGAAGUGGA
This 3402-nucleotide long non-coding RNA is filed under the name Sus scrofa (pig). Its description in RNAcentral is "lncRNA (ENSSSCG00030039156.1)". Lineage: Eukaryota; Metazoa; Chordata; Mammalia; Artiodactyla; Suidae. The record is from RNAcentral.